Molecule: unclassified non-coding RNA, 374 nt
Filed under: Inonotus cuticularis
Lineage: Eukaryota; Fungi; Basidiomycota; Agaricomycetes; Hymenochaetales; Hymenochaetaceae
Description: Boletus cuticularis partial internal transcribed spacer region
Rfam family: Eukaryotic small subunit ribosomal RNA (bases 1-46)
Source: RNAcentral
AAGUCGUAACAAGGUUUCCGUAGGUGAACCUGCGGAAGGAUCAUUAUCGAGUUUUGAAACCGAAGGUCUGUGCUGGUGCGGAAACGUACAUGUGCACGACUUUCGUGCUCAAAUCCAUCUCAAACCCCUGUGCACUUUGACGGUUGAAGCUAGUAGUCAGUAACACUUUUGAACUCGACUUAGUACUGCGAGUAUACAAGUACGACGGCUUUGCGGCCUUUCGAAAGUUGAAAGCAGGAAAGCGUUGAGGAGAAAGGGUGAAGGCGAACGCUUUGACUUAGUUAUAUUAUAAACCCUUUUAUUGUUAUGUGAAUGUAAUGCUCCUUGUGGGCGAUAAUGAAGUACAACUUUCAACAACGGAUCUCUAGGCUCUC